RNAcentral lists this ribosomal RNA (879 nucleotides) under uncultured bacterium. Its description in RNAcentral is "bacterial SSU rRNA". It matches the Rfam family "Bacterial small subunit ribosomal RNA", at positions 8 to 916 of the family's 1533-position model. The record is from RNAcentral.
AGAGUUUGAUCAUGGCUCAGGAUGAACGCUGGCGGCGUGCCUAACACAUGCAAGUCGAGCGAUUUACUUCGGUAAAGAGCGGCGGACGGGUGAGUAACGCGUGGGUAACCUGCCCUAUACACACGGAUAACAUACCGAAAGGUAUGCUAAUACGAGAUAAUAUAAGAGAUUCACAUGGAUUUCUUAUCAAAGCUGAGGCGGUAUAGGAUGGACCCGCGUCUGAUUAGCUAGUUGGUAAGGUAACGGCUUACCAAGGCGACGAUCAGUAGCCGACCUGAGAGGGUGAUCGGCCACAUUGGAACUGAGACACGGUCCAAACUCCUACGGGAGGCAGCAGUGGGGAAUAUUGCACAAUGGGCGAAAGCCUGAUGCAGCAACGCCGCGUGAGUGAUGAAGGCCUUCGGGUCGUAAAACUCUGUCCUCAAGGAAGAUAAUGACGGUACUUGAGGAGGAAGCCCCGGCUAACUACGUGCCAGCAGCCGCGGUAAUACGUAGGGGGCUAGCGUUAUCCGGAUUUACUGGGCGCAAAGGGUGCGUAGGUGGUCUCUUAAGUCAGGAGUGAAAGGCUACGGCUUAACCGUAGUAAGCUCUUGAAACUGGGAGACUUGAGUGCAGGAGAGGAAAGUGGAAUUCCUAGUGUAGCGGUGAAAUGCGUAGAUAUUAGGAGGAACACCAGUAGCGAAGGCGGCUUUCUGGACUGUAACUGACACUGAGGCACGGAAGCGUGGGGAGCAAACAGGAUUAGAUACCCUGGUAGUCCACGCCGUAAACGAUGAGUACUAGGUGUCGGGGGUUACCCCCCUCGGUGCCGCAGCUAACGCAUUAAGUACUCCGCCUGGGGAGUACGCUCGCAAGAGUGAAACUCAAAGGAAUUGACGG